This 69-nucleotide transfer RNA is filed under the name Ipomoea nil (Japanese morning glory). It matches the Rfam family "tRNA". Rfam says of the family: Transfer RNA (tRNA) molecules are approximately 80 nucleotides in length. Lineage: Eukaryota; Viridiplantae; Streptophyta; Magnoliopsida; Solanales; Convolvulaceae. The record is from Rfam by way of RNAcentral.
GUCGUUGUAGUAUAGUGGUGAGUAUCCCUGCUUGUCACGCGGGAGACCCGGGUUCGAUCCGGCAACGCG